AAUAGAUACCCUGGUAGUCCACCCCGUAAACGUUGGGAACUAGUUGUGGGGACCAUUCCACGGUUUCCGUGACGCAGCUAACGCAUUAAGUUCCCCGCCUGGGAAGUACGGCCGCAAGGCUAAAACUCAAAGGAAUUGACGGGGACCCGCACAAGCGGCGGAGCAUGCGGAUUAAUUCGAUGCAACGCGAAGAACCUUACCAAGGCUUGACAUAUACGAGAACGGGCCAGAAAUGGUCAACUCUUUGGACACUCGUAAACAGGUGGUGCAUGGUUGUCGUCAGCUCGUGUCGUGAGAUGUUGGGUUAAGUCCCGCAACGAGCGCAACCCUCGUUCUAUGUUGCCAGCACGUAAUGGUGGGAACUCAUGGGAUACUGCCGGGGUCAACUCGGAGGAAGGUGGGGAUGACGUCAAAUCAUCAUGCCCCUUAUGUCUUGGGCUUCACGCAUGCUACAAUGGCCGGUACAAAGGGCUGCAAUACCGUAAGGUGGAGCGAAUCCCAAAAAGCCGGUCCCAGUUCGGAUUGAGGUCUGCAACUCGA
RNAcentral lists this ribosomal RNA (540 nucleotides) under uncultured bacterium. Its description in RNAcentral is "bacterial SSU rRNA". It matches the Rfam family "Bacterial small subunit ribosomal RNA", at positions 777 to 1315 of the family's 1533-position model. The record is from RNAcentral.